CUUUAGGAUUUAUUUAAAUCCACAGAUUACAUUAAUUUAUUAUAACU
Molecule: non-coding RNA, 47 nt
Organism: Pelodiscus sinensis (Chinese soft-shelled turtle)
Lineage: Eukaryota; Metazoa; Chordata; Testudines; Trionychidae
Source: Rfam